AGAGUUUGAUCCUGGCUCAGGAUGAACGCUGGCGGUGUGCCUAAUACAUGCAAGUUGAGCGGGAUCCAUGCGCUUGCGCAUGGUGAGAGCGGCGGACUGGCGAGUAACACGUGGGCGACGCGCCCUCCGGACGGGAAUAGCCUGUAGGAAUACAGGGUAAUGCCGGAUGCGAACGCGCGCGCUGGAGGCGCGCGUGGAAAGCCCCCACGGGGGCGCCGGAGGAGCGGCCCGCGGCCCAUCAGCUUGUAGGCGGUGCAAGGGACCACCUAGGCUACGACGGGUACCCGGCCUCAGAGGGCGGACGGGCGCAUUGGGACUGAGAUACGGCCCAGACUCCUACGGGAGGCAGCAGCUAAGAAUAUUCCGCAAUGGGGGGAACCCUGACGGAGCGACGCCGCGUGGGCGAGGAAGGCCGGAAGGUUGUAAAGCCCUUUUGCGCGCGAGGAAUAAGGGGAGGAGGGAAUGCCUUCCCGGUGACUGUAGCGCGCGAAUAAGCGCCGGCUAAUUACGUGCCAGCAGCCGCGGUAACACGUAAGGCGCGAGCGUUGUUCGGAAUCAUUGGGCGUAAAGGGCGUGUAGGCGGCCCUGCAAGCCUGGCGUGAAAUCCCGGGGCUCAACCCCGGAACCGCGCUGGGAACUGCUGGGCUGGAGCCGCUGUGGCGCAGCCGGAAUUCCAGGUGUAGGGGUGAAAUCUGUAGAUAUCUGGAAGAACACCGAUGGCGAAGGCAGGCUGCGAGCGGACGGCUGACGCUGAGGCGCGAAGGCGCGGGGAGCGAACAGGAUUAGAUACCCUGGUAUUCCACGCCGUAAACGAUGAUGGCUAACCGCCGGCGACACACAGUCGGUGGCCAAGCGAAAGCGAUAAGCCAUCCACCUGGGGAGUACGUCGGCAACGAUGAAACUCAAAGGAAUUGACGGGGGCCCGCACAAGCGGAGGAACAUGUGGUUUAAUUCGAUGAUACGCGAGGAACCUUACCCGGGCUCGAACGGCAGGGGAAUCACCCAGAGAUGGGUGAGUCUUCGGACUCCUGUCGAGGUGCUGCAUGGUUGUCGUCAGCUCGUGCCGUGAGGUGUCGGCUCAAGUGCCAUAACGAGCGCAACCCCUGCCGCCAGUUGCCAUCAGGUGAAGCUGGGCACUCUGGCGGGACUGCCACCGCAAGGUGUGAGGAGGGGGGGGAUGACGUCAAAUCAGCACGGCCCUUACGUCCGGGGCGACACACGUGUUACAAUGGCGGCCACAGAGGGAGGCUACCCCGCGAGGGGAUGCGGAUCUCGAAAAGCCGUCCCAGUUCGGACUGGAGUCUGCAACCCGACUCCACGAAGUUGGAUUCGCUAGUAAUCGCGCAUCAGCCAUGGCGCGGUGAAUACGUUCCCGGGCCUUGUACUCACCGCCCGUCA
This 1398-nucleotide ribosomal RNA is filed under the name uncultured bacterium. RNAcentral describes it as "bacterial SSU rRNA". It matches the Rfam family "Bacterial small subunit ribosomal RNA". The record is from RNAcentral.